Molecule: long non-coding RNA, 2045 nt
Organism: Cucumis sativus (cucumber)
Lineage: Eukaryota; Viridiplantae; Streptophyta; Magnoliopsida; Cucurbitales; Cucurbitaceae
Exons: 2
Source: RefSeq, a predicted model, not a curated record
UCCAGUUUUAUCAUUUGUUUUCUUUGUGUUCUUUUUGCAAUUAUGAAAUUAUCUAGGGUCAGUGAUUGAUGGUGCUAUAGCUUCAGAAAAAUCUAACUAUUGUGUUGUUCUAGGGUUUGAUUUGUUUUUGCAAGCUUGAACCCUGUGUUUCGUACACUAUUGAUUUUCAUUAAAUCCAUCGUUAUAUUCUUCUUGUUGAAUUCUGCUCAUCUUUUUCUUUUCAACUCUCGUGAAUCAACUUGCUUUUCAUCGUAAUCUUCACAUAUUGUUGCUUCUACUGCUCAUUUUAUCUAGGAAAUUUCGGACUAGUUUGUAAAUCUGUUUUUGCUUAAUUUUCAGUGUUAGGAGCCAUUUUUUUUACACAUAUUGUUGCUUCUACUGCUCAUUUUAUCUAGGAAAUUUCGGACUAGUUUGUAAAUCUGUUUUUGCUUAAUUUUCAGUGUUAGGAGCCUUUUUUUUUUUUAUGUUAUGGAAUUUGGUUGUUUGGUUUGAAUUUUUGGAACAUGGGUGUAUGUCCAAAAUGGACAAUAUCAUACCAUUUGUGGAGAUAUGUGAAUGUCCUUUGUCCCUAAUAAUUGGUAGCCGAGCCUUGGUCUAGGUCCAACUGUGUGAGUGAAAUCUUCAAAUUUGAACAAAGAAACUUUGUGAGUCUUGUUUGUGUUCUAGUCUGGUGAUAAGUAUACGUGUGGUCUAUGCUUGUGCUCGGGUGAGCAAGUGACCGAAGGUGAAGGGAAGGUGUUUGAAAUUUAGAGCAAGCUCUCGUGGUGGGAGUGAAAUAGAUUUGUUCGAGGGUAAGCUCAAAGUGGUACUUGGUGGAGGAGAGGAUUGUAGGAGUGCGUACAAAAUCACAUAUUGAUUGGAGAAGAGUGAUCAUGGGUAUACACGUGUGGGCAACUUUAUCCACUGGUUGCAGAUAUUUGCAGGAAUCGAAAUAAUGCCAAUGAAUUUAGUUCCAUCAUAAAGUGCAAAAUUUUCCCAAAAGAUUUAGUUACUACUUUUCACUUUAAUUUUAUUGUAUUCUCCAUUAUUACUUGUUAUAGAGUAAAUUUGUUUCUAGUUUUUUUUUAUUUGAGAGUAUCCGGACCAACUUAUGCAUACCUCGACUAAUCUCGGAGACAACCCAUUUAACACUACAACAUUUUUGGGUGUUGAGGAAACUUGUAGGAAAUUAAUUCCUAAGAAUCGAUAACCUCUUAGAUAAUGAGACUAUGUUUCCUUUUUUACUACUAGUUCUUUGACAAUGGUUUACUCUUAAUUGAAACCAAUUCAUGGUAUACACAUUUGACAAGACUUUGUACCUUGUAUUUCGAUCUUCUGCUUGUAUAUGACUUACUAUUUGCAGAUUGGACCUGCUUCUAUUUCAGAGUUGCUUUCAGAGAUCCCAAGUGAAUCUUCUGUUCUAAUGAACGAACAUAACAGAAAGAAAAUAAAAGUUAGAAAAUUAUGAAUAAACAAGAAUAGUAUAGAAGAAAGACUCAUACUCCAAAAACUAAAAAGUAAACAACUCCAGUGUUAACAUGUUCUUGUUUGCGUGUGUGUGCUUUCUUCUCUUGCUUGCAGAUUAUAGAAUAUGCAGAAAAUUGGUUAUCUUCAUCUACCACUGCUGCUGAAUUGUCUGAAUUUCGUCACCUUUACAAGGAAUUCACUUUGGCAUGAUAAUCGAUCGGCUUUCAAUUCGGUUUUUCAUGCUCGGACUAGACCAGGCAUGUAAAAAUUGAUCUUCACUUUGUUAGGGAACCAGUAGUUUAAAGGUGUAUGACUCCCAUAUGUUUCUAACUGAGUGAUUAACUAAGUCUCAGUUUAUUGAAUGCUUUGAAACUCUUGCCUUCCAAACUUCUGUCUCCUACCAACAUAUCAUAAAGUUUGCGGACACAUGUGAGGUGUAUCCAUCAAUACAUUAUUGUAUUUGAAGUCUCCUGUAAAUCUGGUAUGAUACUAAUACAUAUAUAUAUAGAUCUUGUAAUAAUUUGUCAUUUUAUUAUUUAUUUAUUCCCUCAAGCCUGCGAGUAAUGCAGUAAAUAAAUUCAAAUUUAGUUACCAUUUUA